Long non-coding RNA from Rattus norvegicus (Norway rat), 417 nucleotides. The record is from Ensembl. NCBI's taxonomy places the organism in Eukaryota, Metazoa, Chordata, Mammalia, Rodentia, Muridae.
CACAAUGCUGUCCAAGAUGCAGUCAUGAGGGCCACAUUCAAGUCUUCCAUCAAAGACCAUGAGGCAGGGUCUCCCAAUUUCUAUUGACACAGGCAUGGUUCCUCCGGCCAAAAUUGCCCUUUCUUCGUUUGUGUUAUUCUGAGCACCAUUCUUCCUCUGUGUCUGCCUCCCUCUGUGUGUCUGUGGUGUAUCAGAGCCCAGGAUCUGAGCCCUCCGCUUCUCCGUCAGUCUGGGAUCUGCACGGCAGCCAGGGAAGACCAGACCACAAAGAGCUGUGUUCUCUUGGGGAAGAGACACUGCCCCUACCAGGAAGCUGGAGGCUGAGUGGCUGGAGGGGCUCUCAGAGGCCCUGUGCACCCUUGCAGCUUUUUCCGUUUGAUACUGAGAGAUAAAGGACAGUUUGUCUCUGAGGAAGGC